GAUGAACGCUGGUGGCGUGCCUAAUACAUGCCAGUCGAGCGAACAGACGAGGAGCUUGCUCCUCUGACGUUAGCGGCGGACGGGUGAGUAACACGUGGAUAACCUACCUAUAAGACUGGGAUAACUUCGGGAAACCGGAGCUAAUACCGGAUAAUAUAUUGAACCGCAUGGUUCAAUAGUGAAAGACGGUUUUGCUGUCACUUAUAGAUGGAUCCGCGCCGCAUUAGCUAGUUGGUAAGGUAACGGCUUACCAAGGCAACGAUGCGUAGCCGACCUGAGAGGGUGAUCGGCCACACUGGAACUGAGACACGGACCAGACUCCUACGGGAGGCAGCAGUAGGGAAUCUUCCGCAAUGGGCGAAAGCCUGACGGAGCAACGCCGCGUGAAUGAUGAAGGUCUUCGGAUCGUAAAACUCUGUUAUUAGGGAAGAACAAAUGUGUAAGUAACUAUGCACGUCUUGACGGUACCUAAUCAGAAAGCCACGGCUAGCUACGUG
RNAcentral lists this ribosomal RNA (497 nucleotides) under uncultured bacterium. RNAcentral describes it as "partial 16S ribosomal RNA". It matches the Rfam family "Bacterial small subunit ribosomal RNA", at positions 28 to 507 of the family's 1533-position model. The record is from RNAcentral.